CCAAGUCUCAGUUCAUGUAAACAUCCUACACUCAGCUGUUACACAGAGACUGGCUGGGAGGUGGAUGUUUACGUCAGCUGACUUGGA
MicroRNA precursor from Erinaceus europaeus (western European hedgehog), 87 nucleotides. The record is from Ensembl. Lineage: Eukaryota; Metazoa; Chordata; Mammalia; Eulipotyphla; Erinaceidae.